AGUGAACGCUGGCGGUAGGCCUAACACAUGCAAGUCGAACGGCAGCACAGUAAGAGCUUGCUCUUACGGGUGGCGAGUGGCGGACGGGUGAGGAAUACAUCGGAAUCUACUUUUUAGUGGGGGAUAACGUAGGGAAACUUACGCUAAUACCGCAUACGACCUACGGGUGAAAGCAGGGGAUCUUCGGACCUUGCGCGAUUGAAUGAGCCGAUGUCGGAUUAGCUAGUUGGCGGGGUAAAGGCCCACCAAGGCGACGAUCCGUAGCUGGUCUGAGAGGAUGAUCAGCCACACUGGAACUUAGACACGGUCCAGACUCCUACGGGAGGCAGCAGUGGGGAAUAUUGGACAAUGGGCGCAAGCCUGAUCCAGCCAUACCGCGUGGGUGAAGAAGGCCUUCGGGUUGUAGAGCCCUUUUGUUGGGAAAGAAAAGCAGCAGGUUAAUACCCCGCUGUUCUGACGGUACCCAAAGAAUAAGCACCGGCUAACUUCGUG
This 492-nucleotide ribosomal RNA is filed under the name uncultured bacterium. RNAcentral's name for it is "partial 16S ribosomal RNA". It matches the Rfam family "Bacterial small subunit ribosomal RNA", at positions 29 to 507 of the family's 1533-position model. The record is from RNAcentral.